This 711-nucleotide ribosomal RNA is filed under the name Bullacta caurina. RNAcentral's name for it is "12S ribosomal RNA". Lineage: Eukaryota; Metazoa; Mollusca; Gastropoda; Cephalaspidea; Haminoeidae. The record is from RNAcentral.
AACUUUGUUAUGAUUUUUCUCCAAAGAACCUAGACACUUGCAUGGUAAUUAUUUGAGAAUAAUAACCCAGCCAGAAAUAUUAAACAAUACUUGAAAUAGUAAUUUAAUCAAGGUUCAAUCUUUGACUAAAUUAGGUGCCAGCAGUCGCGGUCAGACCUAAAAAGUCUUGGAAAAAAUAGAAUUUGAUUUAGAGAAAAAGUACAAUAUUUAGUGAAAUGAGAUUGUAUUCUGUUUCUACUCUCUAAGAUUUUCAUUAAAGGCACUAUAUAAACUAGGAUUAGAUACCCUACUAUUAGCCCUCAAGAGAAAAUUCUAAGCACUACGGCUAAAAAAGCUAAAACUUAAAUAACAUGGCGGCAAGCUUAAAUUUCAGAGGAACCUACCAGGUAAAUGAUAACCCGCAAAAUAUUCUUACUUUAUCUAAGAGUUUAUAUACCGCCGUCUAGUAAUCUUUUAGGAAGGCUACAAAAUGUAAUUUUUACAAAAAGACAGGUCAUGGUAUAGCAUAUGGUAAAGACUUUAAGGUGGGUUACAAUAAAAAUUUUUUUUCGGAAAGCUAGCUAAAGGCAGCUUUAAAGAUGGAUUUGAAAGUAAAUAUUAAAAUAAGUAUAUUUUGAAUAUUUUUAAGUUCGUGUACAAAUCGCCCGUCACUCUCAUUGUAACAUGAGACAAGUCGUAACACAGUAGAGGUACCGGAAGGUGUCUCUGUCU